This 263-nucleotide long non-coding RNA is filed under the name Manihot esculenta (cassava). RNAcentral's name for it is "long non-coding RNA (MESC_LNC006752)". Lineage: Eukaryota; Viridiplantae; Streptophyta; Magnoliopsida; Malpighiales; Euphorbiaceae. The record is from RNAcentral.
GGCCGAAUGUGCCUCCGCAUCCAUGCAAAUGUUCGGCGGCCGAACAUGAGGUUCGGCGGCCGAACCUUGACUUCCCUCACUCAUGCUUUCGGGGGCCUAAAGUGCCUCCAAAACGCAUGCAUGUUCGGCGGCCGAACUUGACUUUCGGCGGCCGAACCUGGGUUUUCCUCCAAGGACUUUUCAUGUAAAAACUCAUUUAAUUUCAUACUUAAAAUCAUAAAACACCUUAAAACAUUUUUAUAAAACAUGAUUCUACCCUUCUA